Molecule: ribosomal RNA, 253 nt
Filed under: uncultured bacterium
Lineage: Bacteria
Description: partial 16S ribosomal RNA
Rfam family: Bacterial small subunit ribosomal RNA
Source: RNAcentral
GACGAACCUUGCGAACGUUGUUCGGAAUAACUGGGCUUAAAGGGUGCGUAGGCGGGUCCGCCAGUCUGUGGUGAAAUCCUCCCGCUCAACGGGAGAACUGCCGUGGAUACUGCGGACCUCGAGGAAGAUAGGGGCGUGCGGAACAGUUGGUGGAGCGGUGAAAUGCGUUGAUAUCAACUGGAACUCAGGUGGCGAAGGCGGCACGCUGGGUCUUUUCUGACGCUGAGGCACGAAAGCUAGGGGAGCAAACGGG